This 685-nucleotide ribosomal RNA is filed under the name uncultured Serratia sp. Its description in RNAcentral is "bacterial SSU rRNA". It matches the Rfam family "Bacterial small subunit ribosomal RNA", at positions 12 to 711 of the family's 1533-position model. Lineage: Bacteria; Pseudomonadati; Pseudomonadota; Gammaproteobacteria; Enterobacterales; Yersiniaceae. The record is from RNAcentral.
UUUGAUCCUGGCUCAAAUUGAACGCUGGCGGCAGGCCUAACACAUGCAAGUCGAGCGGUAAGAGAGCUUGCUCUCUACGAGCGGCGGACGGGUGAGUAAUGUCUGGGAAACUGCCUGAUGGAGGGGGAUAACUACUGGAAACGGUAGCUAAUACCGCAUAACGUCUUCGGACCAAAGUGGUUCGUCACGCCAUCAGAUGUGCCCAGAUGGGAUUAGCUAGUAGGUGGGGUAAUGGCUCACCUAGGCAACGAUCCCUAGCUGGUCUGAGAGGAUGACCAGCCACACUGGAACUGAGACACGGUCCAGACUCCUACGGGAGGCAGCAGUGGGGAAUAUUGCACAAUGGGCGCAAGCCUGAUGCAGCCAUGCCGCGUGUGUGAAGAAGGCCUUCGGGUUGUAAAGCACUUUCAGCGAGGAGGAAGGGUAGUGUUAAUACAUUGCAUUGACGUUACUCGCAGAAGAAGCACCGGCUAACUCCGUGCCAGCAGCCGCGGUAAUACGGAGGGUGCAAGCGUUAAUCGGAAUUACUGGGCGUAAAGCGCACGCAGGCGGUUUGUUAAGUCAGAUGUGAAAUCCCCGCGCUUAACGUGGGAACUGCAUUUGAAACUGGCAAGCUAGAGUCUUGUAGAGGGGGGUAGAAUUCCAGGUGUAGCGGUGAAAUGCGUAGAGAUCUGGAGGAAUACCG